GGGGAAUAUUGCACAAUGGGGGAAACCCUGAUGCAGCAACGCCGCGUGAGUGAAGAAGUAUUUCGGUAUGUAAAGCUCUAUCAGCAGGGAAGAAAAUGACGGUACCUGACUAAGAAGCACCGGCUAAAUACGUGCCAGCAGCCGCGGUAAUACGUAUGGUGCAAGCGUUAUCCGGAUUUACUGGGUGUAAAGGGAGCGCAGGCGGUCUGGCAAGUCUGAUGUGAAAAUCCGGGGCUCAACUCCGGAACUGCAUUGGAAACUGUCAGACUAGAGUGUCGGAGAGGUAAGUGGAAUUCCUAGUGUAGCGGUGAAAUGCGUAGAUAUUAGGAGGAACACCAGUGGCGAAGGCGGCUUACUGGACGAUAACUGACGCUGAGGCUCGAAAGCGUGGGGAGCAAAC
This 400-nucleotide ribosomal RNA is filed under the name uncultured bacterium. Its description in RNAcentral is "bacterial SSU rRNA". It matches the Rfam family "Bacterial small subunit ribosomal RNA", at positions 356 to 773 of the family's 1533-position model. The record is from RNAcentral.